GGGGAAUAUUGCGCAAUGGGGGAAACCCUGACGCAGCAACGCCGCGUGAAGGAUGAAGGUCUUCGGAUUGUAAACUUCUUUGAUUGGGGAAGAAGAAAUGACUGUACCCAAAAAACAAGCCACGGCUAACUACGUGCCAGCAGCCGCGGUAAUACGUAGGUGGCAAGCGUUGUCCGGAAUUACUGGGUGUAAAGGGCGUGUAGGCGGGGAUGCAAGUCAGAUGUGAAAUUCCGGGGCUCAACCUCGGAGCUGCAUCUGAAACUGCAACUCUUGAGUACUGGAGAGGAAAGUGGAAUUCCUAGUGUAGCGGUGAAAUGCGUAGAGAUUAGGAGGACCACCAGUGGCGAAGGUGGCUUUCUGGACAGUAACUGACGCUGAGGCGCGAAAGCGUGGGGAGCGAAC
RNAcentral lists this ribosomal RNA (402 nucleotides) under uncultured bacterium. Its description in RNAcentral is "bacterial SSU rRNA". It matches the Rfam family "Bacterial small subunit ribosomal RNA", at positions 356 to 773 of the family's 1533-position model. The record is from RNAcentral.